Molecule: transfer RNA, 84 nt
Filed under: Candidatus Altimarinota bacterium
Lineage: Bacteria; Candidatus Altimarinota
Description: tRNA-Leu
Rfam family: tRNA
About the family: Transfer RNA (tRNA) molecules are approximately 80 nucleotides in length. Their secondary structure includes four short double-helical elements and three loops (D, anti-codon, and T loops).
Source: RNAcentral
GCUCGGGUGGUGGAAUUGGUAGACACGUACGCUUGAGGGGCGUAUGCUUAUGGCGUGGGGGUUCAAGUCCCCCCUCGAGCACCA